RNAcentral lists this transfer RNA (71 nucleotides) under Loxodonta africana (African savanna elephant). It matches the Rfam family "tRNA". Rfam says of the family: Transfer RNA (tRNA) molecules are approximately 80 nucleotides in length. Lineage: Eukaryota; Metazoa; Chordata; Mammalia; Proboscidea; Elephantidae. The record is from Rfam by way of RNAcentral.
ACAGUGGUGAUCCAGUGGCAGAAUACUUGCCUUCUAUGCAGAAUACCCAGGUUCAAUUCCUGGCCAAUGUA